GACGAACGCUGGCGGCGCGCUUAACACAUGCAAGUCGAGCGAAGCGGCGGACGGGUGAGUAACACGUGAGUAACCUGCCUUAGACAUUGGGCUAGCCUCUGGAAACCGGGAUUAAUACCAAAUGGUCUAAGAUGGACUCGCUUCCCAUUAGCUAGUUGGUGAGGUAACGGCCCACCAAGGCGACGAUGGGUAGCCGGCCUGAGAUGGUGAACGGCCACAUUGGAACUGAGAAACAGUCCAAACGCUACGGGAGGCAGCAGUGGCGGAUAUUGCACAAUGGAGGGAACUCUGAUGCAGCGACGCCGCGUGAACGAAGAAGGCUGGCGAGUUGUAAAGGUCUUUUAUAUGGGAAGCGGUACCAUAAGAAAAAGCCCCGGCUAACUACGUGCCAGCAGCCGCGGUAAUUC
RNAcentral lists this ribosomal RNA (407 nucleotides) under uncultured bacterium. Its description in RNAcentral is "partial 16S ribosomal RNA". It matches the Rfam family "Bacterial small subunit ribosomal RNA", at positions 28 to 526 of the family's 1533-position model. The record is from RNAcentral.